This 468-nucleotide ribosomal RNA is filed under the name uncultured bacterium. RNAcentral's name for it is "partial 16S ribosomal RNA". It matches the Rfam family "Bacterial small subunit ribosomal RNA", at positions 28 to 506 of the family's 1533-position model. The record is from RNAcentral.
GACGAACGCUGGCGGCGUGCUUAACACAUGCAAGUCGAACGGAAAGGCCCUGCUUGCAGGGUGCUCGAGUGGCGAACGGGUGAGUAACACGUGGGUGAUCUGCCCCUUACUUUGGGAUAAGCCUGGGAAACUGGGUCUAAUACUGGAUAGGACCAUGCUGUAGGUGGUGUGGUGGAAAGAUUAGUUUCGGUAAGGGAUGAGCUCGCGGCCUAUCAGCUUGUUGGUGGGGUAAUGGCCUACCAAGGCGUCGACGGGUAGCCGGCCUGAGAGGGUGGACGGCCACAUUGGGACUGAGAUACGGCCCAGACUCCUACGGGAGGCAGCAGUGGGGAAUAUUGCACAAUGGGCGCAAGCCUGAUGCAGCGACGCCGCGUGGGGGAUGACGGCCUUCGGGUUGUAAACUCCUUUCAGCCAUGACGAAGCCCUUGUGGUGACGGUAGUGGUAGAAGAAGCACCGGCGAACUACGU